CAAGGUAAAAGCGGUUUGGGUUUCCCUUACAGAUGGACCCCGGGCCCAUUAGCUAGUUGUGGGGUUAUGGCUCACCAAGGGGACGAUGGGUAGCCGACCUGAGAGGGUGAUCGGCCACACUGGGACUGAGACACGGCCCAGAUUCCUACGGGAGGCAGCAGUAGGGAUCUUCCGCAAUGGACGAAAGUCUGACGGAGCAACGCCGCGUGAGUGAUGAAGGUUUUCGGAUCGUAAAGCUCUGUUGUUAGGGAAGAACAAGUGCGAGAGUAACUGCUCGCACCUUGACGGUACCUAACCAGAAAGCCACGGCUAACUACGUGCCAGCAGCCGCGGUAAUACGUAGGUGGCAAGCGUUGUCCGGAAUUAUUGGGCGUAAAGGGCUCGCAGGCGGUUUCUUAAGUCUGAUGUGAAAGCCCCCGGCUCAACCGGGGAGGGUCAUUGGAAACUGGGAAACUUGAGUGCAGAAGAGGAGAGUGGAAUUCCACGUGUAGCGGUGAAAUGCGUAGAGAUGUGGAGGAACACCAGUGGCGAAGGCGACUCUCUGGUCUGUAACUGACGCUGAGGAGCGAAAGCGUGGGGAGCGAACAGGAUUAGAUACCCUGGUAGUCCACGCCGUAAACGAUGAGUGCUAAGUGUUAGGGGGUUUCCGCCCCUUAGUGCUGCAGCUAACGCAUUAAGCACUCCGCCUGGGGAGUACGGUCGCAAGACUGAAACUCAAAGGAAUUGACGGGGGCCCGCACAAGCGGUGGAGCAUGUGGUUUAAUUCGAAGCAACGCGAAGAACCUUACCAGGUCUUGACAUCCUCUGACAACCCUAGAGAUAGGGCUUUCCCUUCGGGGACAGAGUGACAGGUGGUGCAUGGUUGUCGUCAGCUCGUGUCGUGAGAUGUUGGGUUAAGUCCCGCAACGAGCGCAACCCUUGAUCUUAGUUGCCAGCAUUUAGUUGGGCACUCUAAGGUGACUGCCGGUGACAAACCGGAGGAAGGUGGGGAUGACGUCAAAUCAUCAUGCCCCUUAUGACCUGGGCUACACACGUGCUACAAUGGACAGAACAAAGGGCUGCGAGACCGCAAGGUUUAGCCAAUCCCAUAAAUCUGUUCUCAGUUCGGAUCGCAGUCUGCAACUCGACUGCGUGAAGCUGGAAUCGCUAGUAAUCGCGGAUCAGCAUGCCGCGGUGAAUACGUUCCCGGGCCUUGUACACACCGCCCGUCACACCACGAGAGUUUGUAACACCCGAAGUCGGUGAGGUAACCUUUAUGAGUCA
Molecule: ribosomal RNA, 1263 nt
Filed under: Bacillus pumilus
Lineage: Bacteria; Bacillati; Bacillota; Bacilli; Caryophanales; Bacillaceae
Description: bacterial SSU rRNA
Rfam family: Bacterial small subunit ribosomal RNA
Source: RNAcentral